Tribolium castaneum (red flour beetle) is the source of this 650-nucleotide long non-coding RNA. RefSeq lists it as uncharacterized. The record is from RefSeq and is a predicted model, not a curated record. NCBI's taxonomy places the organism in Eukaryota, Metazoa, Arthropoda, Insecta, Coleoptera, Tenebrionidae. The transcript is spliced from 4 exons.
GAAGUGUAUUUUAGCCUGUAAGCGUUGAAAAUGUCGAGGAAACUGUUGCACCUAAAGCAUGGGAAAACAAGGCUACAUCUUCCAAGAAGGAAAAUACUAAAGUACCACCUGCUGAAGCAGCUGAAGUUACAAACGGAACAGAUGAAAAAAAAAUUACAAAACGCAAUAAAGCAGAACCCGUAAGUGCUGAAAGUAAGGAGGAACCUAAGGCAGAGAAAACUAAGGGUAAAACUGCCAAGAAGGCAGACAGUGGAAAUAAAGAAGAAACCCAAGUGGAAGAAGCGAAAAAACCUCAAACACGCACAGGUCUUGCUACUAAGAGAGAGUUUGUACCAAAGGGGCCUAAAAAUUCGACAGUAACUAAUUGGGAAAAUAUAAAUUUCAAAUGCACUACGAAAUCCCCGAAAGGAAAAGCUCCCAACUUUCAUAUCACUACGUGGAAUGUAGACGGAUUAAGAAGCUGGUUAAAGAAGGGAUGCCUUGAUAUCUUGAAGUAUGACAAACCAGAUAUACUUUGUAUUCAAGAGACUAAGUGCGCUGUAUAUAAAUUACCAGAAGAAGUCAAGACUAUAGAAGGUUACGAAACAUUGUGGUGCUGUAGCGAUAAAGAUGGCUAUGCAGGUGUAGGCAUUAUGGUUCAACAUAUACUC